Molecule: non-coding RNA, 205 nt
Organism: Pelobates cultripes (western spadefoot toad)
Lineage: Eukaryota; Metazoa; Chordata; Amphibia; Anura; Pelobatidae
Source: the annotation of a GenBank genome assembly
CUGCUCUAUUAAAUUGUCUUCCUACCUUUAAGUCAUCUGAAAUAAUUACUCCUAAAUCCCUUUCCUCAGAUGUUGAGGUUAGUAGGGUAUCAAAUAUUCUAUAUUCUGCCCAUGGGUUUUUAUGCCCAAGAUGCAUUAUCUUGAACUUAUCCACAUUAAAGGGACACUCCAGGCACCCAGACCACUUCUGCCCAUUGGAGUGGUC